RNAcentral lists this ribosomal RNA (253 nucleotides) under uncultured bacterium. RNAcentral's name for it is "partial 16S ribosomal RNA". It matches the Rfam family "Bacterial small subunit ribosomal RNA", at positions 524 to 776 of the family's 1533-position model. The record is from RNAcentral.
UACGAAGGGGGCUAGCGUUGCUCGGAAUCACUGGGCGUAAAGCGCACGUAGGCGGAUUGCUAAGUCAGGGGUGAAAUCCUGGAGCUCAACUCCAGAACUGCCCUUGAUACUGGCGGUCUCGAGUCCGGGAGAGGUGAGUGGAACUGCGAGUGUAGAGGUGAAAUUCGUAGAUAUUCGGAAGAACACCAGUGGCGAAGGCGGCUCACUGGACCGGCAUUGACGCUGAGGUGCGAAAGCGUGGGGAGCAAACAGG